This 95-nucleotide non-coding RNA is filed under the name marine eukaryotic metagenome. RNAcentral describes it as "Glycine riboswitch". It matches the Rfam family "Glycine riboswitch aptamer". Rfam says of the family: This family represents the bacterial glycine riboswitch. The record is from RNAcentral.
GUCACUCUGGAAAGUAGACGGAUCUUGCCGUCUCACCGAAGGCGAAAGCCCGCACAGUUUUCGGGUGAAUCUCUCAGGUAUCCCGACAGAGGGGG